AUUCAGCUGACACGUCGCAAAUGGGACGAAACGCGCAUCCUGGAU
This 45-nucleotide non-coding RNA is filed under the name Schistosoma mansoni. The record is from RNAcentral. Lineage: Eukaryota; Metazoa; Platyhelminthes; Trematoda; Strigeidida; Schistosomatidae.